AACGAACGCUGGCGGCAGGCUUAACACAUGCAAGUCGAGCGCAUCCUUCGGGGUGAGCGGCAGACGGGUGAGUAACGCGUGGGAACGUACCCUUUCCUACGGAAUAGCUCCGGGAAACUGGAAUUAAUAUCGUAUACGCCCUUAGGGGGAAAGAUUUAUCGGGGAAGGAUCGGCCCGCGUUGGAUUAGCUAGUUGGUGGGGUAAAGGCCUACCAAGGCGACGAUCCAUAGCUGGUCUGAGAGGAUGAUCAGCCACAUUGGGACUGAGACACGGCCCAAACUCCUACGGGAGGCAGCAGUGGGGAAUAUUGGACAAUGGGCGCAAGCUUGAUCCAGCCAUGCCGCGUGAGUGAUGAAGGCCUUAGGGUUGUAAAGCUCUUUCAGUAGGGAAGAUAAUGACGGUACCUACAGAAGAAGCCCCGGCUAACUUCGUGCCAGCCGCCGCGGUAA
Molecule: ribosomal RNA, 449 nt
Filed under: uncultured bacterium
Lineage: Bacteria
Description: partial 16S ribosomal RNA
Rfam family: Bacterial small subunit ribosomal RNA
Source: RNAcentral